UAGGGAAUCUUCCACAAUGGACGCAAGUCUGAUGGAGCAACGCCGCGUGAGUGAGAAGGUCUUCGGAUCGUAAAACUCUGUUGUUAGAGAAGAACACGAGUGAGAGUAACUGUUCAUUCGAUGACGGUAUCUAACCAGCAAGUCACGGCUAACUACGUGCCAG
Molecule: ribosomal RNA, 163 nt
Filed under: uncultured bacterium
Lineage: Bacteria
Description: partial 16S rRNA
Rfam family: Bacterial small subunit ribosomal RNA
Source: RNAcentral